AGCAGCCGCGGUAAUUCCAGCUCCAAUAGCGUAUAUUAAAGUUGUUGCAGUUAAAAAGCUCGUAGUUGAAUUUCGGGGUUAGUAGGUUGGUCAUGCCUCUGGUAUGUACUGGUCUCACUGAUUCCUCCUUCCUGAUGAACCUUAAUGCCAUUAAUUUGGUGUUUUGGGGAAUUUGGACUGUUACUUUGAAAAAAUUAGAGUGUUUAAAGCAAGCUAACGCUUGAAUACAUUAGCAUGGAAUAAUGAAAUAGGACGUUCGAUCCUAUUUUGUUGGUUUCUAGGAUUGACGUAAUGAUUAAUAGGGAUAGUUGGGGGCAUUAGUAUUCAAUUGUCAGAGGUGAAAUUCUUGGAUUUAUUGAAGACUAACUACUGCGAAAGCAUUUGCCAAGGAUGUUUUCAUUAAUCAAGAACGAAAGUUAGGGGAUCGAAGACGAUCAGAUACCGUCGUAGUCUUAACCAUAAACUAUGCCGACUAGGGGAUCGGAUGAUGUUAAUUUUUAAUGACUCAUUCGGCGCCUUA
Molecule: ribosomal RNA, 520 nt
Filed under: uncultured Glomus
Lineage: Eukaryota; Fungi; Glomeromycota; Glomeromycetes; Glomerales; Glomeraceae
Description: SSU rRNA
Rfam family: Eukaryotic small subunit ribosomal RNA
Source: RNAcentral